Molecule: long non-coding RNA, 198 nt
Organism: Humulus lupulus (European hop)
Lineage: Eukaryota; Viridiplantae; Streptophyta; Magnoliopsida; Rosales; Cannabaceae
Exons: 3
Source: RefSeq, a predicted model, not a curated record
GUUGUUGUUCCGAUUCCAGAAGAGCUAUGGACUUUGACCUUCUUAAACUAUCUGAAUUUGGGCUACAAUUUCUUGACAGGCUCUCUUUCUCCAUCAAUUGGAAACCUUAUUAACAUGAAAUCCUUGGCCUUAAGCGCAAAUGAACUGUCAGGAGAGGUACCAAAGGAAUUGGGACUACUUACUGACCUAUCUUUUUUG